RNAcentral lists this ribosomal RNA (649 nucleotides) under uncultured Lachnospiraceae bacterium. RNAcentral describes it as "bacterial SSU rRNA". It matches the Rfam family "Bacterial small subunit ribosomal RNA", at positions 60 to 709 of the family's 1533-position model. Lineage: Bacteria; Bacillati; Bacillota; Clostridia; Lachnospirales; Lachnospiraceae. The record is from RNAcentral.
AGUCGAACGAAGCACUUAUCUUUGAUUCUUCGGAUGAAGAGGUUUGUGACUGAGUGGCGGACGGGUGAGUAACGCGUGGGUAACCUGCCUCAUACAGGGGGAUAACAGUUAGAAAUGACUGCUAAUACCGCAUAAGACCGCAGAGCCGCAUGGCUCAGUGGGAAAAACUCCGGUGGUAUGAGAUGGACCCGCGUCUGAUUAGGUAGUUGGUGGGGUAACGGCCUACCAAGCCAACGAUCAGUAGCCGACCUGAGAGGGUGACCGGCCACAUUGGGACUGAGACACGGCCCAAACUCCUACGGGAGGCAGCAGUGGGGAAUAUUGCACAAUAGGGGAAACCCUGAUGCAGCGACGCCGCGUGAGCGAAGAAGUAUUUCGGUAUGUAAAGCUCUAUCAGCAGGGAAGAAAAUGACGGUACCUGACUAAGAAGCACCGGCUAAAUAUGUGCCAGCAGCCGCGGUAAUACGUAUGGUGCAAGCGUUAUCCGGAUUUACUGGGUGUAAAGGGAGCGUAGACGGCUGUGUAAGUCUGAAGUGAAAGCCCGGGGCUCAACCCCGGGACUGCUUUGGAAACUAUGCAGCUAGAGUGUCGGAGAGGUAAGUGGAAUUCCCAGUGUAGCGGUGAAAUGCGUAGAUAUUGGGAGGAACAC